CUAACUGCCUGCUCCUACUGGGCAGCCAUUGCUUGCAAGAUAAUGUGAAAAAAAGUAUCAGAAGAUGUUAUUAUGACAAUUAAGAGCUUUAGGGCUGAGCACAUCCCUAGUCCAAAUGUCUCAUUUUUCAUUCUCAAUGGCUGAAGUACACCAGUGACGCCUUUUCCACAGAAGGAAAAGCAGGCAUUCAUGAGGUGGAGCUUGGACAACACAGGAGGAUUUUAUUCAGUUGCAAUAUACCUUUUAGUGAAGUGAGUUAAUUUAGCUGCACAAAACCCAAGGAGAGUGAUAAUCACUGAAAAACCCUGCUGAUGACUCCUCACGUGGCUUCAGACUGCCUCUUGAAGGCUCCAUGUGGCUGUUUCAGAAGUGCAGCCUCCCUGCCUGUGUCGUAUAUUGAUGCAGGAGAGCAAGACAAACUGUAGACAAUAGUGAGGGAAUAUUACAAUUUGAGGAGGAUAAAGUUCAGCCUUUGAAACUGAAAGAGGCUACUCCUUGGACCACUGUGGUUUGUCAUAACACUGGAAAA
This is a long non-coding RNA of Empidonax traillii (willow flycatcher), 529 nucleotides long. RefSeq lists it as uncharacterized. The transcript is spliced from 3 exons. The record is from RefSeq and is a predicted model, not a curated record. NCBI's taxonomy places the organism in Eukaryota, Metazoa, Chordata, Aves, Passeriformes, Tyrannidae.